GAGAGAGGCUCGCCAGCAGUAAGAGCUGCUAACUCUUAUGACCUUGGUUAGACCCCAAGGCUCACUCG
Molecule: transfer RNA, 68 nt
Filed under: Sillago indica (Indian whiting)
Lineage: Eukaryota; Metazoa; Chordata; Actinopteri; Sillaginidae
Description: tRNA-Ser
Source: RNAcentral